CCUACGGGUGGCUGCAGUGGGGAAUAUUGGGCAAUGGACGCAAGUCUGACCCAGCAACGCCGCGUGAAGGAAGAAGGCUUUCGGGUUGUAAACUUCUUUUAAGGGGGAAGAGCAGAAGACGGUACCCCUUGAAUAAGCCACGGCUAACUACGUGCCAGCAGCCGCGGUAAUACGUAGGUGGCAAGCGUUGUCCGGAUUUACUGGGUGUAAAGGGCGUGCAGCCGGGAAGACAAGUCAGAUGUGAAAUCCCGCGGCUCAACCGCGGAACUGCAUUUGAAACUGUUUUUCUUGAGUAUCGGAGAGGUAAUCGGAAUUCCUAGUGUAGCGGUGAAAUGCGUAGAUAUUAGGAAGAACACCAGUGGCGAAGGCGGAUUACUGGACGACAACUGACGGUGAGGCGCGAAAGCGUGGGGAGCAAACAGGAUUAGAUACCCGGGUAGUC
This 442-nucleotide ribosomal RNA is filed under the name uncultured bacterium. RNAcentral's name for it is "partial 16S ribosomal RNA". It matches the Rfam family "Bacterial small subunit ribosomal RNA", at positions 338 to 795 of the family's 1533-position model. The record is from RNAcentral.